RNAcentral lists this ribosomal RNA (428 nucleotides) under uncultured bacterium. RNAcentral describes it as "bacterial SSU rRNA". It matches the Rfam family "Bacterial small subunit ribosomal RNA", at positions 355 to 775 of the family's 1533-position model. The record is from RNAcentral.
CUAAGAAUAUUCCGCAAUGGACGAAAGUCUGACGGAGCGACGCCGCGUGGAUGAAGAAGGCCGAAAGGUUGUAAAGUUCUUUUGUUGGGGAAGAAUAACCAUGGGAGGGAAUGCCCGUGGGAUGACAUGAACCGACGAAUAAGCCCCGGCUAACUACGUGCCAGCAGCCGCGGUAACACGUAGGGGGCAAGCGUUGUUCGGAAUUACUGGGCGUAAAGGGCAUGUAGGCGGCCUUGUAAGCUUGGCGUGAAAGUCCACGGCUUAACCGUGGGAUUGCGUUGAGAACUGCGAGGCUUGAGUGACGGAGAGGGAGCUAGAAUUCCUGGUGUAGGGGUGGAAUCUGUAGAGAUCAGGAAGAAUACCAAUGGCGAAGGCAAGCUCCUGGCCGAUGACUGACGCUGAGGUGCGAAAGUGUGGGGAUCAAACAG